GGGAACACGUUCGAAAGGAACGCUAAUACCGCAUACGUCCUACGGGAGAAAGCAGGGGACCUUCGGGCCUUGCGCUAUCAGAUGAGCCUAGGUCGGAUUAGCUAGUUGGUGAGGUAAUGGCUCACCAAGGCGACGAUCCGUAACUGGUCUGAGAGGAUGAUCAGUCACACUGGAACUGAGACACGGUCCAGACUCCUACGGGAGGCAGCAGC
This 212-nucleotide ribosomal RNA is filed under the name uncultured Pseudomonas sp. RNAcentral describes it as "partial 16S ribosomal RNA". It matches the Rfam family "Bacterial small subunit ribosomal RNA", at positions 140 to 355 of the family's 1533-position model. The record is from RNAcentral. Lineage: Bacteria; Pseudomonadati; Pseudomonadota; Gammaproteobacteria; Pseudomonadales; Pseudomonadaceae.